This 519-nucleotide ribosomal RNA is filed under the name uncultured Bacillota bacterium. RNAcentral describes it as "bacterial SSU rRNA". It matches the Rfam family "Bacterial small subunit ribosomal RNA", at positions 386 to 896 of the family's 1533-position model. Lineage: Bacteria; Bacillati; Bacillota. The record is from RNAcentral.
ACGGAGCAACGCCGCGUGAGUGAUGAAGGCUUUCGGGUCGUAAAACUCUGUUGUUAGGGAAGAACAAGUACGAGAGUAACUGCUCGUACCUUGACGGUACCUAACCAGAAAGCCACGGCUAACUACGUGCCAGCAGCCGCGGUAAUACGUAGGUGGCAAGCGUUAUCCGGAAUUAUUGGGCGUAAAGCGCGCGCAGGCGGUUUCUUAAGUCUGAUGUGAAAGCCCACGGCUCAACCGUGGAGGGUCAUUGGAAACUGGGGAACUUGAGUACAGAAGAGAAAAGCGGAAUUCCACGUGUAGCGGUGAAAUGCGUAGAGAUGUGGAGGAACACCAGUGGCGAAGGCGGCUUUUUGGUCUGUAACUGACGCUGAGGCGCGAAAGCGUGGGGAGCAAACAGGAUUAGAUACCCUGGUAGUCCACGCCGUAAACGAUGAGUGCUAAGUGUUAGAGGGUUUCCGCCCUUUAGUGCUGCAGCUAACGCAUUAAGCACUCCGCCUGGGGAGUACGGUCGCAAGACUG